RNAcentral lists this transfer RNA (73 nucleotides) under Ailuropoda melanoleuca (giant panda). It matches the Rfam family "tRNA". Rfam says of the family: Transfer RNA (tRNA) molecules are approximately 80 nucleotides in length. Lineage: Eukaryota; Metazoa; Chordata; Mammalia; Carnivora; Ursidae. The record is from Rfam by way of RNAcentral.
ACCUGGCUGGUUCAGUCGGUAGAACAUGAGACUCUUGAUCUCAGGAUUGUGAGUUCAAGCCCCAUGUUGGGCG